This 515-nucleotide ribosomal RNA is filed under the name uncultured bacterium. Its description in RNAcentral is "bacterial SSU rRNA". It matches the Rfam family "Bacterial small subunit ribosomal RNA", at positions 15 to 518 of the family's 1533-position model. The record is from RNAcentral.
GAUCAUGGCUCAGGAUGAACGCUAGCUACAGGCUUAACACAUGCAAGUCGAGGGGCAGCAUGAUCGAAGCUUGCUUUGAUUGAUGGCGACCGGCGCACGGGUGAGUAACGCGUAUCCAACCUUCCCUAUAGUAGAGGAUAGCCCGGCGAAAGUCGGAUUAAUACUCUAUGUUUUCCAAUGCAGACAUCUAAAAUGGAACAAAGGUUUACCGCUAUAGGAUGGGGAUGCGUCUGAUUAGAUAGUAGGCGGGGUAACGGCCCACCUAGUCGACGAUCAGUAGGGGUUCUGAGAGGAAGGUCCCCCACAUUGGAACUGAGACACGGUCCAAACUCCUACGGGAGGCAGCAGUGAGGAAUAUUGGUCAAUGGGCGAGAGCCUGAACCAGCCAAGUAGCGUGCCAGGAUGACGGCCCUAUGGGUUGUAAACUGCUUUUAUACAGGGAUAAAGUGCGCCACGUGUGGCGUUUUGUAGGUACUGUAUGAAUAAGGACCGGCUAAUUCCGUGCCAGCCGCCGC